Molecule: ribosomal RNA, 253 nt
Filed under: uncultured bacterium
Lineage: Bacteria
Description: partial 16S ribosomal RNA
Rfam family: Bacterial small subunit ribosomal RNA
Source: RNAcentral
UACGGAGGGUGCAAGCGUUAUCCGGAUUCACUGGGUUUAAAGGGUGCGUAGGUGGGCAAGUAAGUCAGUGGUGAAAUCUCCGGGCUUAACCCGGAAACUGCCAUUGAUACUAUUUGUCUUGAAUACUGUGGAGGUCAGCGGAAUAUGUCAUGUAGCGGUGAAAUGCUUAGAUAUGACAUAGAACACCAAUUGCGAAGGCAGCUGGCUACACAAAUAUUGACACUGAGGCACGAAAGCGUGGGAAUCAAACAGG